RNAcentral lists this unclassified non-coding RNA (239 nucleotides) under Hevea brasiliensis (rubber tree). The record is from RNAcentral. Lineage: Eukaryota; Viridiplantae; Streptophyta; Magnoliopsida; Malpighiales; Euphorbiaceae.
AUAUGGGGGCAUGAUAUGCUGCGAUGAGAAAUUUACAUUAGAACUGCACCAAUUUCCAUUGUCAAGUUUCAAUCAUAUAAGCUGAACAAAAACAAUAAAUCUUUUACAAUGAAAAGAUUUUAAGCAUACUAGAAGAGUGUGAAUAAGAUCAGCAUAAAGAAUAUCUAAAUCAUAAGAAGAUUAGAUGAGACAAAAAUUUUAUGCAAUUGAAAAAUAAUUUACUGCAUUUAUUGGCAAAG